GUGGGGAAUCUUCCGCAAUGGACGAAAGUCUGACGGAGCAACGCCGCGUGAGUGAUGAAGGUCUUCGGAUUGUAAAGCUCUGUUAAUCGGGACGAAAGAGCCUAGUGUGAAUAAUGCUAGGAAGUGACGGUACCGGAAUAGAAAGCCACGGCUAACUACGUGCCAGCAGCCGCGGUAAUACGUAGGUGGCAAGCGUUGUCCGGAAUUAUUGGGCGUAAAGCGCGCGCAGGAGGAUCUGCCAGUCUGUCUUAAAAGUUCGGUGCUUAACCCCGUGAUGGGAUGGAAACUACAGAUCUAGAGUAUCGGAGAGGAAAGUGGAAUUCCUAGUGUAGCGGUGAAAUGCGUAGAUAUUAGGAAGAACACCAGUGGCGAAGGCGACUUUCUGGACGAAAACUGACGCUGAGGCGCGAAAGCCAGGGGAGCGAACGGGAUUAGAAACCCCUGUAGUCC
RNAcentral lists this ribosomal RNA (450 nucleotides) under uncultured bacterium. RNAcentral describes it as "partial 16S ribosomal RNA". It matches the Rfam family "Bacterial small subunit ribosomal RNA", at positions 354 to 796 of the family's 1533-position model. The record is from RNAcentral.